This 253-nucleotide ribosomal RNA is filed under the name uncultured bacterium. RNAcentral describes it as "partial 16S ribosomal RNA". It matches the Rfam family "Bacterial small subunit ribosomal RNA", at positions 524 to 776 of the family's 1533-position model. The record is from RNAcentral.
UACAGAGGGGGCAAGCGUUGUUCGGAAUUACUGGGCGUAAAGGGCGCGUAGGCGGCCUUCUAAGUCGAACGUGAAAUCCCCGGGCUCAACCCGGGAACUGCGUCCGAUACUGGAAGGCUUGAAUCCGGGAGAGGGAUGCGGAAUUCCAGGUGUAGCGGUGAAAUGCGUAGAUAUCUGGAGGAACACCGGUGGCGAAGGCGGCAUCCUGGACCGGCAUUGAUGCUGAGGCGCGAAAGCCAGGGGAGCAAACGGG